Molecule: ribosomal RNA, 492 nt
Filed under: uncultured bacterium
Lineage: Bacteria
Description: partial 16S ribosomal RNA
Rfam family: Bacterial small subunit ribosomal RNA
Source: RNAcentral
AUUGAACGCUGGCGGUAGGCCUAACACAUGCAAGUCGAACGGCAGCACAGUAAGAGCUUGCUCUUACGGGUGGCGAGUGGCGGACGGGUGAGGAAUACAUCGGAAUCUACUUUUUCGUGGGGGAUAACGUAGGGAAACUUACGCUAAUACCGCAUACGACCUACGGGUGAAAGCAGUGGAUCUUCGGACCUUGCGCGAUUGAAUGAGCCGAUGUCGGAUUAGCUAGUUGGCGGGGUAAAGGCCCACCAAGGCGACGAUCCGUAGCUGGUCUGAGAGGAUGAUCAGCCACACUGGAACUGAGACACGGUCCAGACUCCUACGGGAGGCAGCAGUGGGGAAUAUUGGACAAUGGGCGCAAGCCUGAUCCAGCAAUACCGCGUGGGUGAAGAAGGCCUUCGGGUUGUAAAGCCCUUUUGUUGGGAAAGAAAAGCAGCAGGUUAAUACCCCGCUGUUUUGACGGUACCCAACGAAUAAGCACCGGCUAACUUCGUG